UACAGAGGUGGCAAGCGUUGUUCGGAAUUACUGGGCGUAAAGGGCGCGUAGGCGGCCUUCUAAGUCAGACGUGAAAUCCCCCGGCUUAACCUGGGAACUGCGUCUGAUACUGGAGGGCUUGAGUGCGGGAGAGGGAUGUGGAAUUCCAGGUGUAGCGGUGGAAUGCGUAGAGAUCCGGAAGAACACCGGUGGCGAAGGCGGCCCGCUGGGCAGGAAGGCUCGCAAGAGCCGGCUGACACUGAGGCGCGACAGCGUGGGGAGCAAACAGG
Molecule: ribosomal RNA, 269 nt
Filed under: uncultured bacterium
Lineage: Bacteria
Description: partial 16S ribosomal RNA
Rfam family: Bacterial small subunit ribosomal RNA
Source: RNAcentral